Molecule: ribosomal RNA, 2627 nt
Filed under: marine metagenome
Description: bacterial LSU rRNA
Rfam family: Bacterial large subunit ribosomal RNA
Source: RNAcentral
AAGGCAUUUAAAGAAUACCUUGAUUUAUAUAUAAUAGAGGCGUAUAAAACUACGAAAAGUAAUUUUUAGUUUUUAAACUGUGAGAAAUUAAUUCCUCAAAGGAAAACCUAAUCAUUAGGAUUAAAAUAUUACGCAAUGAAUUGAAACAUCUUAGUAAUUGUAGGAAUAAAAAUCAAAAGAGAUUCUUUUAGUAGCGGCGAGCGAAUAAAGAAAAGACCAUAAAUUUAAUCAAUAAUAUUAAAAAUGUAUUAAGUGAAAUUCUUAAGCAAUAGUUAGGUGAUAGCCCAAUAAUUUUUCAUAUUUUAAAUUUUUUGAGUAAGAUAAUACAUGAGUAAUUUUGUCUGAAGUCAUUUGGAAAACCAUUUUCAAAGUCUAAAUAUAUAUAUAAACUCGAUAGUGAACAAGUACUGUGAAGGAAAGGAAAAGAACUGACGUUGUUCUUAUUUUGAAAUUGAAUGCUAACAAGCAAUAGAAGCUUUAUAAAUAAGUAACUAUGUACCUUUGGCAUAAUGGACCAACAACUUUAUUUUAUUAGCUAAAAGCUUAAGCUGUUAAGUGAAGGCGCAGAGAAAUCAAAAAUUUGUUUUAAAAGAACAAGUUGUUAAUAAGAUAAAACCCGAAACAAUGUGAUCUAAUCAUGACCAGGUUAAAAAAUAAAUAAAUUUAUUUGGAGGACCGAACUUGUAAGCGUAGCAAAGCUUUAAGAUGAGUUAUGAUUCGUAGUGAAAGGCAAAUCGAACAUUGAAAUAGCUGGUUUUCCACGAAAUCUGUUUUAGCAGAGCAUCUUAUAUAAUUUUAAAUCAGGGGUAAAGCACUAUUUUGACUAGGGGAUUUUAUAAAAUUUACCAAAUCAUCGUAAACUCUGAAUACUGAUUUAAUUAAGGAUAGUCGAACUUAAAAUGCUAAGGUUUUAAGUUAAGAGGGAAACAGCCCAGAUCGAUAAAUAAGGUCUUUAAAUUUAAUCUAAGUGAAAAAGUUGUUAAAAAAUGAUUACAAUUAGAGAAUAGGCUUAGAAGCAGCCAUUUCUUAAAGAUAGCGUAAAUGCUCACUAAUUUAUGUUUUUUAGCGCUGAAAAUUUAUAGAGACUAAGAUUAAAUACCGAAUUUUCGAAUUAAUUGAUAUAAAAAUUAAUGGUAGUGGAACGUUGCGUAUAUUAUAGAUGAAAAAAAGUGAUUUUUUUUGGAGAUAUCGCAAGUGAUAAUGUUGGUAUGAGUAAUACAAAACCAUGUACAAAACAUGGUCACCGAAAAUCUAAGGUUUUCUACGCUAGGUUAAUCCACGUAGAGUAAAUCGGCCUCUAAAAUUUAUAAGUGAAAACUUUAAUUGAUGAGAUAAUAAAUUCAUGACAAAGAAGAUGCUUUUAUUUAGAUUAAAUGAUUUUUCUAAUUAAAAAGCUGAUUUUUUCAAGAAAAAUGAAUUUUAUAAAAUAAACCGUACUAAAACCACCACAGGUAGAUAGAUAGAAUAUAUUAAGGUGUUGAACGAACAAUAGCUAAGGAACUCGGCAAAUUUCUAUUGUAACUUCGGGAGAAAAUAGACCAUCUUUGGUGUCACAAAAUUGCAGGGAACGACUGUUUAAUUAACACAUAGGUUUUUGCAAAAAUAUUUUGAAGUAUAAGAACUGACACGUGUCCGGUGUUUUAAAUUAAUUGACAAAGUUCACGCUUUGAAAAAAUAUUUAAAAUAAACGACAGCUCUAACUAUGAGAGUUCAAAGGUAGCAUUAUUUGUCAUCUAAUUAGUGACGUGAAUGAAUCGUGUAACGAUUCCCUGACUGUCUCGGCUAUUGAUUCAAUGAAAUUGAAUUCUAGGUGAACAUGCCUAGUUAUUAAUUGUAGGCGAAAAGACCCCGUGAAGUUUUACUGAAAGUUAGUAUUGUUUAUUUUUCAAAAAUGUAUAGAAUAAGUAGUAGCUAUUAAAAUUAUCUUACGCUAGUAAGUUUAAAAAGCAACAAUUGGAAUACUACUCUUUUUUGUAUUAAUAACUUACCAAAUAAAUUUUGGGAUAGUGCUAAUUUGUUAGUUUCUCUGGGGCGGAGACCUCUAAAAGAGUAACGGAGGUGUGCAAAAAUAAAGUUCAAUUAGCGAUAACGAACUAAUGUAGAGUAUAAAGGCAUAAACUUUAUUGACUGUAAGAAUGAAAGUUCAAGCAGGGUUAGAUUUAAUCUAACGGUCUUAGUGAUCCGGUAUUUUUGAAUGGAAAAGAUAUCGCUCAACUGAUUAAAAUUACUCCGGGGAUAACAGCGUAGUCAGACUUUAAAGUUCUUAUUGACGGUCUGGAUCGCGACAUCGAUGUCGGCUCAAGCUAUCCUUGAGGUGAAGCAGCUUCAAAGGGUGUGGUUGUUCGCCACAUAAAAGCUUUCGUGGCUGGGUUAAGAGCGACGUAAGUCAGCUCGGUUUCUACCUCAAUUAAUUGUUUAAGAGAUUGAAAGAACUUACUUUUAGUACGAGAGGACCAAAGUAAUUUUUCCUCUGGUGAAUUUGUUAUUAAUAAUCAUUAGUAAGCAAAGUAGCUACGAAAAAAAUGGAUAAGUGCUGAAAGCAUCUAAAGUACGAAGCUGAUCUUAAAAUAAAUCUCUAAUCCAUCAUUUAAGAUUAAAAUGUGAUAGGUAAAUUAUGUAAGUUUUGU